UCGUAACAAGGUUUCCGUAGGUGAACCUGCGGAAGGAUCAUUACAGAGUUCAUGCCCGAAAGGGUAGACCUCCCACCCUUGUGUAUUAUUACUUUGUUGCUUUGGCGAGCUGCCUUCGGGCCUUGUAUGCUCGCCAGAGAAUACCAAAACUCUUUUUAUUAAUGUCGUCUGAGUACUAUAUAAUAGUUAAAACUUUCAACAACGGAUCUCUUGGUUCUGGCAUCGAUGAAGAACGCAGCGAAAUGCGAUAAGUAAUGUGAAUUGCAGAAUUCAGUGAAUCAUCGAAUCUUUGAACGCACAUUGCGCCCCUUGGUAUUCCGGGGGGCAUGCCUGUUCGAGCGUCAUUUCAACCCUCAAGCUUAGCUUGGUAUUGAGUCUAUGUCAGUAAUGGCAGGCUCUAAAAUCAGUGGCGGCGCCGCUGGGUCCUGAACGUAGUAAUAUCUCUCGUUACAGGUUCUCGGUGUGCUUCUGCCAAAACCCAAAUUUUUCUAUGGUUGACCUCGGAUCAGGUAGGGAUACCCGCUGAACUUAAGCAUAUCAAUAA
This 544-nucleotide unclassified non-coding RNA is filed under the name Botrytis cinerea. RNAcentral describes it as "sequence contains 18S rRNA gene, ITS1, 5.8S rRNA gene, ITS2, 28S rRNA gene". The stretch from base 191 to 344 matches the Rfam family "5.8S ribosomal RNA". Lineage: Eukaryota; Fungi; Ascomycota; Leotiomycetes; Helotiales; Sclerotiniaceae. The record is from RNAcentral.